CCUUAGAGGAGCUCUCCUGGGAUAUUUUUGUAAAUCUUCGAUCUAAUCUUUUUUUACCAUCUCUUGAAAUUUCUCUUUCGUUUGGAAUCAAAAAGUCAUUGAGAACCAAACAUUUCUUGAAGGCCUGAUAGCUUCGAAGUCCUCAUAGCCUUGAAGACCUGCUGAUAGCCUCAAAGACCUGCUGAUAGCUUCGAAGGCCUGAUAGCAUCGAAGACCUGAU
RNAcentral lists this long non-coding RNA (220 nucleotides) under Panax ginseng (ginseng). RNAcentral's name for it is "long non-coding RNA (PGIN_LNC016602)". Lineage: Eukaryota; Viridiplantae; Streptophyta; Magnoliopsida; Apiales; Araliaceae. The record is from RNAcentral.